This is a long non-coding RNA of Limulus polyphemus (Atlantic horseshoe crab), 1436 nucleotides long. RefSeq lists it as uncharacterized. The transcript has 2 exons. NCBI's taxonomy places the organism in Eukaryota, Metazoa, Arthropoda, Merostomata, Xiphosura, Limulidae. The record is from RefSeq and is a predicted model, not a curated record.
AGUUUGUUACCACCCAACAGCCAAUACCAUAUGAUCUGGCAGAAAAAAUUCAAAGUACUGGAAGAAAAAUUCAUGCUUUUAACAUUUAUGAACAUUAUUGGCAGAACCAAACACCUGUAGUUCGACAAAAUCAGCAGUUCCAACAAGUUUACCAGAGAAAGCUUUCUGGCUUUCCUAAUUCAAGUUAUCAGUUCCUCCAGAAACAGCAAGGUUAUUCUAACCCAAACACCCAGGAUCAUUAUCCUCCUAGUAAAGUCCCAAACAGGAACUUUCCUACAUUUGUUCAUGACCCAGAUGUUCAGUGGAGGUUCACACAAGUCGGCACUGCUCGAGUGCCUCAAGCAAUUUUUCCUAGUGGGGUCACUAUCACACCUGUUCUAUCAGGUAGUAAUAGUGAAAACAUAGAAAAUAUAAAAUCUCGGCCUAUUAUAACAGAAGUUGAUGAUACAGAAAACAUUCCAAGCCAGUCAUGUAAAACUCCAUCAUCAGUGACAAUAGAGGAAAUCUAAUAGUAGCAUCCAGCUAUGAGACUGUAAUAUAGGAGAGAAUGUCUGUUACUUUAGACAUAAUGGAAAAUUCAAGGUAGAGAAAAUGACUUUAGUAAAGACGUUAGAAACUCUAACUGUAAUAAUUUUCCACAUAAGUUGUGAUAAGAUUAUUUUAUAAGCUAUAAUUUUUUCAUUCUGUCUAUGUUUCAUAGGAGCAGAAGAACUUACAUUUACCACAUGUUUUGUUGUAAUUCCAAAGUGAUAAAUGUUAAAGGUAUUGUGAACAUCAAGGUAGGUCCUACAACAAAUAAGGAAAUGCAGUGUUAAAGGUAUUGUAGGACCUACCUUGCUGUUCACAACAAAUAAAGGAAAUGCAGUGUUAAAGGUAUUCAGCAAGGUAGGUCCUACUUCACAACAAAUAAAGAAAUGCUUUUUAUAUAGCUUUAUUUGAUCACAAGGAUUUGUGAGCUGUUUGUUGUGAAUGACAAACUAAGAUACACACAUAUAUAUAUGUUACAUAAUAGUUGUGUUGUAAUGGUCUAAAAUAACACAUCACUAUAACCAGGGUUCAACAAAACACAAUUUAUCAAACUGCAACAACACUUGGAGUAAAAUUUAGCAUUUCCCCAAAACACAGAUAAUUGAUACAUGCCUGGCCAGAACUUGAUAUUAAUGUUAAUGCAAUAAAGUAUAAAUAUGAAAUAUAAUUAUUUCAAAUAAUGGAAUCAGGAAAACAAAAACAACAGAAGAAGGAAAACCUAAUUCCAAAAAGAAAAAAACACAAUAUUCCAAAAUCAUUUUUCUAUAUUAAUAACAAUAUCAAGUGACAAACAGCAAUAAUUCACUAGUUAUAUCAUUCACUAACUUUGUGACUUAGUUUAUGUAGCUUAUGGCAGAGUAUUUAUUCACUCUGCUAGGUCACAAAAGUAAAUCUCAUGUGAUCAUAAA